CUGGGGAGGAAUUGAGGCUAGACAUCCAAGUGUGAAACAGCCUCUUUCCAAGAUGAUUCUGGAAUGUUAGUGUUCUGUGGGGACAGGAUCACAGACAUGUGACUCCCUUGGUGUGGGGUCCAUCCCACAGACCCUGAUCCAGCGACGAAUGAAAGACAUACACUGACAGAUAUUUUGCCUGUCAGUGCGACUAAGGGGCUCUGCUGCCUGAGUCUGCACCCGUGGAUGAUCAAAGGUUGGUCUCAGGACCACAUAAGUAAACAAGCUAUUUGGAUAAACUCCCCCACAUUCCUAUGUAUCUACACCCUAAGCUUUUGAGAGAAUUCAGCUGCCUUCAGCCAAACCCUUUACUGAAGUUAUGCAAACCUCUCGGCCUUCCAAGGUUUGUGUCUAUUUCCUAUAACUUUAUCUUAAUUUUCUCCCACCACCCUGACCGAUCCCCUACACCUUGGGGUCACAGAGAAGUGAGGAAGCGGGUAGGAGGGAGAAAGAGAAAAAAAACUAGCAGCCAGAGGUGCAGGAUGCCUCAUUUUGUGUUCAAGCAGUAGAGCAGCAGCCCCAGUCCUGGCUCCUUGCCAAAACAGCUGCCCCUGAGAGGAAGAGGGCAGAGGCGUGUGUGUGGCCCUGCAAGGUCUCCAGCUCACAGCCCCAUCCCCUGCAGGCCUCAUCUACAUCCUGCUCAAGCACAUGGUGGACCGGCACAACCUCUACUUCGUCUACCUCCCAGCCAAGCUGGAGAAGGGGAUCCACUUUGCUGCUGUGAACCAGGCCUUGGCAGCCCCCAUCCUAUGCCUCUUCUGGCUCUACUUCUUUUCCUUCCUGCGCCUGGGUAUGAAGGCCCCUGCCACUCUGUUCACCUUCCUGGUGCUGCUGCUCACCAUCCUGGUCUGCCUGGCUCACACCUGCUUUGGAUGCUUCAAGCACCUCAGCCCUCUGAACUACAAAGUAAAGGUCCCCGACCCCACUGCCCCGUCAAGCCCUGGGAGGAACAGAUGGUGGGACGGGCUCGCUCUCAACGCCUCCCACCCUUGUCUGUAUCAACACAGCAGCAGCCUUCUCCAGAUUCUGCUUCUCCAUGGGAAAGGCGUGGGUGGUUGGGUGCCAUGUGUAGCUUCCCUUGCUCCCCUCAUCCCUGCACUCCCCCACCCCCAUCUUCUCUCGGGCUGCUGCGGAGCUUGGUGCCAGCUGGUACUAUUAUUCCGGGUGUUAAUAGUCUCUGUGUUUGGAGGGUGUUCAUUCACAGAGAUCAGUUUUGUUUAUCAUUGCAAGUUUUUGCUGUUAUCUGCAGACAGAAGAGCCUGCAAGUGA
This 1308-nucleotide long non-coding RNA is filed under the name Rhinopithecus roxellana (golden snub-nosed monkey). RNAcentral describes it as "lncRNA (ENSRROG00000046043.1)". Lineage: Eukaryota; Metazoa; Chordata; Mammalia; Primates; Cercopithecidae. The record is from RNAcentral.